This 253-nucleotide ribosomal RNA is filed under the name uncultured bacterium. RNAcentral describes it as "partial 16S ribosomal RNA". It matches the Rfam family "Bacterial small subunit ribosomal RNA", at positions 524 to 776 of the family's 1533-position model. The record is from RNAcentral.
UACGUAGGGUGCGAGCGUUGUCCGGAAUUAUUGGGCGUAAAGCGCGCGCAGGCGGCGAUCUACGUCUGGGGUGAAAGCCCGGAGCUCAACUCUGGGACUGCCUUGGAUACGGGAUCGCUUGAGAAUUGGAGAGGCAAGGGGAAUUCCACGUUUAGCGGUGAAAUGCGUAGAUAUGUGGAGGAACACCUGUGGCGAAGGCGCCUUGCUGGCCAAUUUCUGACGCUGAGGCGCGAAAGCGUGGGGAGCAAACAGG